CGACGUGAGUAACCUGCCUUGGAGUGGGGAAUAACAGUUGGAAACAGCUGCUAAUACCGCAUAAUAUGUCUGUGUCGCAUGGCACUGGGCAUCAAAGAUUUAUCGCCCUGAGAUGGACUCGCGUCUGAUUAGCUAGUUGGCGGGGUAACGGCCCACCAAGGCGACGAUCAGUAGCCGGACUGAGAGGUUGGCCGGCCACAUUGGGACUGAGACACGGCCCAGACUCCUACGGGAGGCAGCAG
RNAcentral lists this ribosomal RNA (242 nucleotides) under uncultured bacterium. Its description in RNAcentral is "partial 16S ribosomal RNA". It matches the Rfam family "Bacterial small subunit ribosomal RNA", at positions 113 to 354 of the family's 1533-position model. The record is from RNAcentral.